RNAcentral lists this ribosomal RNA (1332 nucleotides) under uncultured bacterium. RNAcentral describes it as "bacterial SSU rRNA". It matches the Rfam family "Bacterial small subunit ribosomal RNA", at positions 28 to 1381 of the family's 1533-position model. The record is from RNAcentral.
GACGAAUGCUGGCGGCGCGCCUAACACAUGCAAGUCGAACGAGCGAGAGAGAGCUUGCUUUCUCGAGCGAGUGGCGAACGGGUGAGUAACGCGUGAGGAACCUGCCUCAAAGAGGGGGACAACAGUUGGAAACGACUGCUAAUACCGCAUAAGCCCACGGCUCGGCAUCGAGCAGAGGGAAAAGGAGCAAUCCGCUUUGAGAUGGCCUCGCGUCCGAUUAGCUAGUUGGUGAGGUAACGGCCCACCAAGGCGACGAUCGGUAGCCGGACUGAGAGGUUGAACGGCCACAUUGGGACUGAGACACGGCCCAGACUCCUACGGGAGGCAGCAGUGGGGAAUAUUGCACAAUGGGGGAAACCCUGAUGCAGCGACGCCGCGUGGAGGAAGAAGGUCUUCGGAUUGUAAACUCCUGUUGUUGGGGAAGAUAAUGACGGUACCCAACAAGGAAGUGACGGCUAACUACGUGCCAGCAGCCGCGGUAAAACGUAGGUCACAAGCGUUGUCCGGAAUUACUGGGUGUAAAGGGAGCGCAGGCGGGAAGACAAGUUGGAAGUGAAAUCUAUGGGCUCAACCCAUAAACUGCUUUCAAAACUGUUUUUCUUGAGUAGUGCAGAGGUAGGCGGAAUUCCCGGUGUAGCGGUGGAAUGCGUAGAUAUCGGGAGGAACACCAGUGGCGAAGGCGGCCUACUGGGCACCAACUGACGCUGAGGCUCGAAAGUGUGGGUAGCAAACAGGAUUAGAUACCCUGGUAGUCCACACCGUAAACGAUGAUUACUAGGUGUUGGAGGAUUGACCCCUUCAGUGCCGCAGUUAACACAAUAAGUAAUCCACCUGGGGAGUACGACCGCAAGGUUGAAACUCAAAGGAAUUGACGGGGGCCCGCACAAGCAGUGGAGUAUGUGGUUUAAUUCGACGCAACGCGAAGAACCUUACCAAGUCUUGACAUCCCUUGACAGGCAUAGAAAUAUGUUUUCUCUUCGGAGCAAGGAGACAGGUGGUGCAUGGUUGUCGUCAGCUCGUGUCGUGAGAUGUUGGGUUAAGUCCCGCAACGAGCGCAACCCUUAUGGUCAGUUACUACGCAAGAGGACUCUGGCCAGACUGCCGUUGACAAAACGGAGGAAGGUGGGGAUGACGUCAAAUCAUCAUGCCCUUUAUGACUUGGGCUACACACGUACUACAAUGGCGUUAAACAAAGAGAAGCAAGACCGCGAGGUGGAGCAAAACUCAGAAACAACGUCCCAGUUCGGACUGCAGGCUGCAACUCGCCUGCACGAAGUCGGAAUUGCUAGUAAUCGUGGAUCAGCAUGCCACGGUGAAUACGUUCCCGGGCCU